Molecule: transfer RNA, 73 nt
Filed under: Canis lupus familiaris (dog)
Lineage: Eukaryota; Metazoa; Chordata; Mammalia; Carnivora; Canidae
Also listed under: 1 other name
Rfam family: tRNA
About the family: Transfer RNA (tRNA) molecules are approximately 80 nucleotides in length. Their secondary structure includes four short double-helical elements and three loops (D, anti-codon, and T loops). Further hydrogen bonds mediate the characteristic L-shaped molecular structure. tRNAs have two regions of fundamental functional importance: the anti-codon, which is responsible for specific mRNA codon recognition, and the 3' end, to which the tRNAs corresponding amino acid is attached (by aminoacyl-tRNA synthetases). tRNAs cope with the degeneracy of the genetic code in two manners: having more than one tRNA (with a specific anti-codon) for a particular amino acid; and 'wobble' base-pairing, i.e. permitting non-standard base-pairing at the 3rd anti-codon position.
Source: Rfam by way of RNAcentral
GCCUGGUUGGCUCAGUUGGUAGAGCAUGUGACUCUUGAUCUUGGGGUCAUGAGUUUGAGCCCCACACUGGGUA